Molecule: non-coding RNA, 406 nt
Organism: Lonchura striata (white-rumped munia)
Lineage: Eukaryota; Metazoa; Chordata; Aves; Passeriformes; Estrildidae
Source: RefSeq, a predicted model, not a curated record
CCAAGGCUCUCCUGCAGAGGUUUCCAGGCUGGACAACUGGACAGUAGGCUCUUCACUGCCAGUCCUGCCUGAGUGUUCCUCCAGGGGCUGAGGAAUUUUAUCAAAGGGCGGAGGCCGUGAGGGGUCCUUGGUUCCCAGCCUGGAGAGGAAUUGUGUCUGACCAAAAUGGGGAAGCAGCAGCUGGCACUGGAUAUGGAGUUUGGAGUUCUACAUGAAGAGCUGCAGGAUUACAAAUAGAUGGAAAAUAUAAAAGCUAGAAUGCUGAGGCAUCGGGGUCGUGUCUUGCCUAAGGAGCUGCUCAAGGGGCUCUGAGAGAGACAAGAACAGAACCCAAAUCUCCAGGGCUCCCAUCCAGCCUUUCCUGUGAAAUCUCUCUUCCCUUGCAAGUGAAUUCUCAGCCUAACAU